AUUAUUUUAAUUAAUUAAAAAAUACUUAAGUAGUAAUAGAUAUAGGCUUGAAACUUAAAAAAUUUGGCGGUAUUUUAAUCUUAUUAGAGGAACCUGUUCUAUAAUCGAUAAUCCACGUUAAAUUUUACUAAAUUUUAAUAUUUGUAUACCGUUGUCGAAAGAAUAUUUUUAAAAAAAUUAAAUUUUCAAAAAUUUAAAAUAAAAUUUAUGUCAAAUCAAGGUGCAGUUUAUAAUUUAGAAGAAAUGGGUUACAAUAAAUUUAUUUAAAUGGAUUUUAUAUUGAAAAAUAUUAAUAAAGGUGGAUUUAAUAGUAAAUUAAUUUUAAUAUAAUUAAUUGAUUAAAGUUCUAAAAUAUGUACACAUCGCCCGUCGCUCUCUUUA
RNAcentral lists this ribosomal RNA (381 nucleotides) under Ctenocephalides felis (cat flea). RNAcentral's name for it is "partial 12S ribosomal RNA". Lineage: Eukaryota; Metazoa; Arthropoda; Insecta; Siphonaptera; Pulicidae. The record is from RNAcentral.